This 12144-nucleotide long non-coding RNA is filed under the name Nicotiana tabacum (common tobacco). Its description in RNAcentral is "long non-coding RNA (NTAB_LNC010158)". Lineage: Eukaryota; Viridiplantae; Streptophyta; Magnoliopsida; Solanales; Solanaceae. The record is from RNAcentral.
AGCCACCUCUGAACCCUCCACUCUCUCAAACACUCUCGAACCUUCUCAAACCCUAGUCGCCUCAUACCAUCUCCGCCCCGAAAGCCACCAGAAUCUAUGGCUUCCAAGGCUAUGAGAGUCCUACACUGGCCUCCUAUGACUCCCACGUGCCUGAUUUCUGAAGAUUUAAGGCCUGACUAUGAAGGGUCGUAUCUAGACCUCUGUCGAUUCGAAGUUUCAUGGUCAUCUCCAACUUUGCUUCGGCGUACCAUGGUUGUUUGAGCCUGAUUCUGACCUCUCUGACUCAGAUCAGUGACUUUUCAAAGCCUUUCUUAUUUCUAGGGUUUUUCUGAAACCCUAACCCUUCGAGGUUUUCUCCGAUUCCUUUAGAUCUGUUGUGUUUCUAUGCUUUCCCUGAGUUUUCAAAGGAUUUCUCUGAUUUUUCUUUCAAAAAUUAGUUUCAAAAACAUUUCUUCUCCGAUCUAGGGUUUUCUGAAAAUAUUUCUCUGACUUUCUUCCUUUUUCCUUUGUGUGUAUUUGCCUCUACUGUGGUCUUGUAUUUCUCUUUUACCAUGUUCUUGUAUGCUUCUCCUACUGUGUUUUCCUAUACUAUGUUCUCGCAUGCUUUUCUACUGUAUUUCUUUUCUCCUGUGUUCUUGUGUUUCUUCUACUCUAUUUUCAGUUCUUAAGUUUCCUUAUUUAGUUCUUUCUACUGAGCUCUCUUUAAGUUUCUUCUAAAAUUUCUUAGCAUGCUUCUUCUACUGUUCUUAUCAGUCUUUUCCAUUAUGUUUCAUAUUAGCUUGUUCUACUCUGUUUUCUUUGAAUUCUUCUACUAUGUUCUGCUUGUUACUUGCUAUCAUUUUUUCCCAUGAGUUUCUGCUGCUGAAAGAAACAUGCAAGGGGUCUCAGUUCUUCUCUAAGACCUCUGAGCCUGUUUCGAUCACUUACCUUCACAUCUCUGUACUCGGUUAAUGGUAGAAACCCUAGAAUUCGGGGUUCUUCCAAGUUUGGUUAUGUGAUUGGCUUGAACUAGGGUUUUAUUUCAUAACCCCUAAUUCUUUCAAACCAAUUUCGGGUCUCUAAACUGAGUUUGGACAUCUUUUGAUUCUGGCUUUUUGCUAAACUCUUCCACACUGGAUUUUUCUACUGAUUUUACAAUGACACAACAACCUUCUUUCAUGCUUAACAUGUUCGUAUGCUCUUUAUAUAUGACGAACUUCCCUCUAAAGUAGUUUUUAAAUUUGUGAUUAGUUCAUACCUCCCUCUGAAUAUGGUCUGAUUCAUUCCUUUCCAUUGAUUGCUGAUUUCCCUUGAGUUAAAACCUUUCUCACCUUUCUUGACUCGGUUCAUUCAUACAAAAAUCCCUGACCUUUGAUUUACUGGCUGUUAAUUGAUUUUCUUACCUUAUUUGUACAACCGUGUACUUCAAAACCCUAUCCUUAAAAUAACCUUUUAUGUAUUUGCCCCUAAUUGCAUGUUGUGCACAAAGUGCUUACUCAAUUUCUUUCCUUAAAUGGUUUUUACCCGUUUGAAUCUGAAUCCCUUAAUUAAAGGGAGUCUUGUGUAAUUGAUUGACAAUCAGUUCCUCAACUAUUUUCUUACCUUAUUUCUGCCUGAUUUUGCACUAUAAAAGGCACGACCUUCUUCACAAACAAUAAGACUUUUUCAGAAUCCUUCUGAACUCAUACUCUCUCAUAAUAAUAUUCUCUUCUUGUCUGCACUGUGUCCUGUUUUACAAGACCUACUGUUUUUCUUUACUUGUUUUCCUGAAAACUGGUAUGUCCGGAUUUAAUUCUUAGCACCACAACAAUGUGUAUUUGCUGCUUUUGUAUCCAUGUUCACCUGCUGUUCUGUAUAUCUCAGCACUUAAAUUGGCAUGCUGAUUUCCUUAUGUGUGUUCCCCAUUCCCCUAUCACCCCUAUGUGUUUUGAGUUGUCACUUAAGGCAUGGCAAUGCAAGUUGUUGUCCACGAAUUAAGUUUGAACCAUUGGGGUUUUGACUAUAAGCAAACAAGCUGGAAGGUGUGCCAGUAUCUCCCAUUGCUGGGUAUGCCCUUCAGCCUGCUUUUCUUUUGCCUCUUGCAACUUCCCCAUUCCCCUAUACCCUUAUGUGUACUGAUUUUGUAAUGACCUGACUGGUCAUUUUGAGCUUUUGCACUUUGCUCGCCAGUUCUUGGGCAUGACUAACCCUGUGUGAUGAAUUAUAACUUAUUUAAAUCGUUGGUUUUGGUUUUUAGGAAAAUUGGAAUGAAUUUGAAAGAAUAGUCUCAGAUGAAAGCUUUGAAUAGGAGUGUGAUCGCAAAUGGUUUUGGAGGUCCGGUGUAGAAUUAGGCUUGAAUUGGCGAAGUUAGUAUUUUGGCGAUUUUCGGUUGGUAGGUGAGAUUUUGAUCCGAGGGUCGGAAUGAAAUUUUGAGAGUUGUUGUAGCUUCGUUAUGUCAUUUGUGAUGUGUUUGCAAAAUUUUAGGUCAUUUGGACGUGGUUUGGUUGGGUUUUUGAUCAAAAGCGUAUUUCGGAAGAUUUUAGAAACUUAGGCUUGAAUCUGAUGUGAUUUGGUAGAUUUGAUGUUGUUUGAGGUGUUUUGACGAUUGGAGAAAGUUUGACUAAGGUAUUGGGUUAUGUUUGUGCUUUUGGUUGAGGUCCCGGGGCCUCGGGAUGAUUUCGGGUGGUUAACGGAGAAGUUUGAUGUUGAUUACAGCUUCAUAUUUUACUGGUUCUGGUGUUUUCACACCUGCGGUUUGGGGACCGCAUGUGCGGUGUCGCACGUGCGAAAGGGAAGGCGCAAAUGCGAUUUGGAGGAGUAGAGCUAGGAGCCGCAGAUGCGGUAUAUGGACCGCACCUACGGAGUCGCAGAUGCGAUGAGGUGACCGCAGAUGCGGCUCAAGCCGGUUUUAAUGAAUUCCGUAGAAGCGGAUGAGUUGACCGCAUAUGCGGUACCGCAAAAGCGGAUUUUUGGACCGCAGAUGCGGUUAUGCCUGGGGCAGAAUGUUUAAAAGAUGGGUUUCGCGAUUUUUGGUCUAUUUUCUCAAUUGUUGAGCAAUUUUUGGAGCUUUUGAGAAGAAUUGAAGAGGGAAUCAAAGGGAAUCACUUGGAGGUAAGAUUUUUGGACUCAAUACUCGAUUCUUGUGUGAAUUCCACCUAAUUAAUCAUGGAAUUAAGCCUAAAAAUUGAGGAAUUAGGGCUUGAAAUUGGAGAGUAAAUUUUUAGAAUUUGAGUGACCAUAUGAGGUCGGAUUUUGGUAAAUUUGAUAUGUAUGAACUCUUGAGAGGAUGAGGAUUUCAUUGAUGUUAAUUUCUGAGUUUCGAGAAGUGGGCCCGGGGCUCGGGUUUUGCUAAUUUCGGAAUUUUUGGUAUUUUUCAAUUGUUUUUGCUUGGGCUUUGUUCCCUUAGCAUAUUGUGACGUAUUCGUUCUGAUUUUGGAUAGAUUCAACGUGCGUGGAGGCCGAUUUGGGGGCAAAGGCAUCGCGAGCUAGAGAUUUAGCCGGUUAGAGGUAAGUAAUGAUUGUAAAUGCUAUUCUGAGGGUUGGAAACCCCGGAUUACACAUCGUUGUGCUAUGUUGAGGUGACUUAUACGCUAGAUGACGAGCAUGGGGUAGAGCACCGCUGGGGAUUGUGACUUAGUCCAUUCCGAAUGAUUAUUUUAAUGCGUAAUUGAUAGUUAAUUGUUUGAUGUUAUUAUAUUUUGGGUUGUAUGCCAUGUUUGGGGCCUUGUGCCAACCUGCUGAGACCCUUAGGGGCACUUCCACUAUUUUUCCUCACUCUAUUAUUUUGAAAGCAUAUCCUCAAUCGUGUUUUACCUAUUUAUUGUUUAAAUCUAGUUUACCAUUUUAUUUCUUAAAAAUAUGAAAACUGUUUGGGUUGAGUUCCCUGUUUUACUGAUGGUCCGAGUGAUCGUGAGGUUGAUGACUGAGAUAGACCGUGAGUCUGGUGGUGAGGUUAAAAACUGAGAGAGGCCGAGAGCCUGGUUGUGAGGAUUAUAUAGUUAUGGAUCGGGCUGUACGCCAUAACAAUACUUAUAUAGAUCGUGUUGCAUGCCGCAUCGAUAUAGUUCUUGGGCUGUAGGAGUCCCUCCGGAGUCUGCACACCCCCAGUGAGCGCCGUCGACGAGAUAUAUGGAUCGGGCUACACGCCGCGGCGAUAUAUGGAUCGAGCUACGCUCCGCAGCGGUUACUAUAUGGUACCUAUUGAGCGUGAGUGCUGAGUGUGAGCACUGAUUUAGUAAGAGUUAAGUCACGAGUGACCGAGAGGCUAGCCCGAGGGGCGAUAGAUAUAUACAUGCACCUGAGUGAUGCUUUGCCCGAGAGGCCUGUUUAGGAACUUAUUGAUUUUUACUCCUCUUUAAGUGAGUUCCCAUCAAAUAUGUAGAUUUAUUGACUGCUUUCACUCAUCUUUAUAUCGAGCCUCUGUCAAAAAUGUUGAAUUAAUGUAUUUAAACAACUUUCAUUUAAGCUGGGGUUUAUGAGAUGUUCAGAACUUCCUCACUGAUUUGGCUCUUGUUAUUUCUACAGAGAUUUCCUUGUUAGGAGGUAUUUAUGACUCCUGUUUUGCCGAGGGGCCGAUUUUGGUUUUCAUCUCUUUUAUUAUAAAUGGUAUUGAAUUCCUACUGAAACCGUUAGAAGGUAUUUUAACUGAUUUUUACCAAAAGCUGGAUUUUGAAAUGAGACAAAUGACUCGUAUUCUGAUUUGAAAGCCUGUUGCGCUUAUUGAGUUUAUCAUAACUGUGGAUUCAUCUUUUCCUACUACUCAGUCUUUAUUUACUCUUAUUACUUACUAGGUUGGAGUACUCACAUUACUCCCUACACCUCGUGUGCAGAUUCAGGUAUUUUGGAACCCGGUAGCGAGUGUUGGUUUCUCAAACGCGGAGUCAUUAGAGUUAGCAAGGUGGCUGCACGACGUUUGCAACACUGCUUCCUUCCUCUCAUUUUCAUUUCUGUACUUAGUACAUUUUGGCUAUUUUUGUUGUAUUCAGACCUUGUUAGAUGCUCAUGGCUAGUGACACCCCGAUAUCGGGCUUGUAUGUUAUUUCCUCACUAUUCAUUCAAACUUAUAUUAUGAAAUAUUAUUUAAUUAAAGGUUUAUAAAGGAAUCUUAUUGAUUAAAGGGUUAAUAUGGGUGUUGUGUCGGCUAGCCUUGUCUUCACGAGAGGUGCCAUCAUGACUGGGCCUGUUCGGGGUUGUGAUAAGUUGGUAUCAGAGCCUAGGUUACAUAGGUCUCACGAGUUAUGAGCAGGUUUAGUAGAGUCUCGUGGAUCGGUACAGAUACGUCUGUAUUUAUCCUUGAGAGGAUGCAGAACCUUUAGGAAAACUUCACAUUCUUGAAUUCUUAUCGUGCGUUCUUUGAUUCAGCUUGAAUGUAACUCUUUGAAUUCCUUCCAUGGGUUCGUGUGUGCGCAUGAGCUCUCAGUAUUGGAUGUGCAUCGAUGGCUUGUGAUUCCCUGAUCGAGGGGGAGAUGUGAUCUCUGUGUGUUGAGGUUGGGCUAGUCUGGAGGACUUGAGGCCGGAUUUUUGCCUAUAGCUUGAGCACCGAGAUGCUGAUUGUGUGAGCAAGUGUUUUUGAACUUAUAUGUUCGGUAGUGUCCUUGUUUGUGGGAGUGAUGGCUGGAUGGCUUCGUGAUGAGUAUAUUAUGACUGCGAGAUAUGUCCGUUCGAAUUAGAAGCGACGAGAAGGGUCUGUUGGAGGAUAGAAGAACUAUUAGAUGCUUGAAUUCCAUUUAGGUUCGAGGUAUAGCCCCGAGUUGUAGGCGUGUGAAGAGUUUUUUCAUGUUUCCUAGUCGGGAAUGAAGUAAAUUUUAUGUCGCGGUAUGAGUUCAGACUCAGGAAGACUAAGUGACUGUGUAAUGUUUGUGACGGUGGGAGGUAUACAGGAAUGUUAAUUGACGACAAAUAGGUGGAUUAUCUCCUGCGGAAUGUUCUGAGGUUGUGUGAUCCUCAUGUUGUCGGCUAGAAGAUCUCAUUUACAAAGUGAAAUAUAAGUGUUGAAGAUUUAAAUUUGGGCCGCUUAAGAGAGUGGGCUUGACUGUUGCGGGGAUGAAUGCGAGAUUGGCAGAAGAUUCAAGUACUAGAUGAUCUGUGUCUUCACCAUCUUACAAAGGAUUUAAGUUUAAUCUCACUACAGUAUUAUGGCAUCAAUAGAGUAUAUGCGUUAUGAGUUAUUGAGUAUGUGUUGAUCUAUGGCUUCGAGCCAAGUGGGGGAGUCCACUAUCGAUUAGUUGAUUGCACGAUUAUGUUCUAUAUUGGUUCCAGUUGGAGGCAUGCAGGUGAAUCAGUUAUGGCUUACGGAGGUUUGAGACCGAGGAUGGCUCGAGCAAAAGAAUUUUUUUACAUAGGUUAUGUCAUGCUUCAUAGGUGUAUAAGAAUCACGGGAUGUCUUGAGCUGUUGUUGGUAAAGGAUGCUCGGUGCAUAGAGCAGGAAGUUGCUUGGUUGUAUUGGGAUGAGGUUGCAUUCUGUAGUGUCUGAAGUGCUAAUGAGGCACAGGUUGUCGGUUAUUUUGAUCGGGCUAAUUGCAGUUUGAGUAGAGUGAAUGACUCUCGAAAUGGUUCUACUGUGUCCAAGAUUUUACAUGUAACAAUUGGGUAUUUUCAAGUUGUAUAUGUGGCUAGAAACUGAGUUUCGCUGGAAGAUGUCAAGAGUAGUGUUUUCUAUAUUUAUUAUGAGUUUCUAUAGGUAUUUCGCGGCAGUGCUCUUAGGUUUUGAUGGCUUGUGUAGCUUGGUCAAGUUAGAAAGAUUCAGUCUUGGCGGGUCUGGUUUGUGCAAGGGGAACUCGGAGAGUUCUUGAUAGUUUCUACCUCGAUUGGAGAUGUAUAUUUCCUAUGGGCAUAAAGAGCAUGGUAUGUAUAGUGAGUUUCUUCUAGAUUGGAACAAUGGAAAGUUCUUGGUUGGCUGAGCACAGAGUUGCUGGUGGCUCAGAAGGGAUAUGAAGUUCUUGCAGUUAUCCUAGAGUGGUAUGGUUGGUGCGGUAUGUUGUGUAGGAUGGAGAUUGGCAUGUGUAGGUCACGGUUCAGAUUUGAAUAGAGGGUCAUAAAUUCUUAGGCAGCACUGGCAGUUUCAGAUAACUAGAGAAAUGAGCUUCAGAUGAUUUGAGAAAUGAUCUUCAGAUGAUUAAGGAAAUGGUAAUGCUAAUUGAGGUGAUUAGACGAUGGUAUAUGUUUCAGAGAGAGGCAAGGUGAUUAAGUUGAUGGUACUUCGGUAGUAUUGCAACACUUCUUGUUAGAUCGACUGCUGAUAUUUGAGUUUGCUUGAUGGCACUAGGGAAUUUUAGAGAAUCUCUCGUGGAAUGAUUGGGAUCAGGUGUGGUGAUUCGUGUGCUAUAUGGAGUUGGAGACUAGGAGUUCUCGUGUUCAGGCUAUGUUGUGGUCGUGGGUUGUAUGUAUUGGCACUGUUUAGUGACUAUCAGGGUUUGGAGAACCAAGCGGAUCUUUUGUUACUUGGUAUGCUAAUUUUUGGAUGUGAUAUUGGGUUUAGAUUGGUUGUCUCCAUAUUGUGUCAUUUUGGAAUAUUGCGCUAAGGCGGCGCUGUUGGCUAUGUCGGAGAUACCACAGAUUGAGUGGCAAGGUUCGACGGAUUAUGUCCUAGUAGAGAGAUUUUAUAUUUCGAAGACCCAGCGAACGGCUGGGAAGAAUUGUCUUUCUUAUAUGGGCUUUCGUGAUAGAUGUUAGUGCAGAGGCUUCUACCAUUGAUUCAGUUUCGGUGGUGAGGGACUUUUUGGAUGUGUUUCUUGUGGCGGGGCAUGCCGCUGGGCAAGGUUGUUGAUUUCAGUAUUGAUUUGAUGCCGGGCACCGUGUAUCGUAUAGCACUAACAGAGUUAUAGGGGUAGAAGGAGCAACUUCAGGACUUUCUUGACAAGGAGUUCAUUGGCAGACCAAUGUAGAUGCCUAUUCUAACUUGAGUCGGCUUGGUUGGCACCAAAUUGUAUUAUUGAGGGAUGUAUUGAUUCGAUUGUUAUUGAGCUCAUUAGUAAUCUGGGGUCUAUGAGUUACAUUUCUAUGUUGCGAGAUGUAUGAUUUGUUGGUUAUGGGCACAUAUGGUGAGGUUCUAUUGGGGUUUCAUAGUAGAAGUUGAGCGGGAAGAGUAUUGGGUGUUGUUCAGUGAAUGGCGUAUCGAUUAUGUCCUUUCGGGUUUGUGUGAUAUAUGUUAUUGGCUUCACCGUGGUUAUGAUGAUUUACUUUGGUUCUAGACAUCAAAUUGUGCGUGGUUGUCAAUUUCGAGCAUAGUGACUCGAGGAGUUUCGUGUGGAGCAACAUUUGGAUAGGAUCACACGUUGCAGCGAAGAUAUGUGGAGUUAUGAUCUUGCAGGUUAGAUUCAUGUGUUCUAUUUCUAUGAUGAGAGACGGGUUCUCAGCCUUGUGUUGUGAUGGUAUUGGUGAGCUUGAGGGGCAACUCUUUCGUUAGAGUCAUUUUCAUGAUUUGAGUAUGUUCGGACCGUUGCUUAUUGGUGCGUGUAUUAUGCAAGUUGUGGCUUAAGCCUGUAUUGAUGUGUCAUGUUACCAGGGUAGUGUGUUGGAUCAGAGGAGAUCAUUGGGAUCAUUAAUGAAUACGAACGGAUUUGAUUUCAGCAUGUUGGAAGGAUAAUAUCGAGGUUCGGCUUAGAAAUUGCUAUGGUUUUUUGCCAAAGGAGAAGUGGCUUCAUGAAUGGUUGAUCUGAGGAAUGGUUAUGUCUUACGGUGUGGUUUAUUUAUCAUUGGCAGUAUAUGGAAGUUGGGGAUGAGACUUUGGUUGAUAAGAGGUUUUCUACCAGUAUUCGGUUGUUAUGUGCAGCUGUUGCGAUUAGAAGUUAUCGCUACAAGUGGUUGAGGUAUGUGGUAUACCAUGUAAUUGCACCUGAGGUUGCAGGCAUGGGUUAUUACAGCCAGUUCGGGCUUAUUCGGAGUAUAGAUGUGAGAUUUUGAUCUUGUGGAUGAUCUCAGGAGUGGAAAUGUGGUUCUAAGGUUUAUGGGCUAGGUCGGAUUGUGAAAUUCCAGUUGCAUUGUAUUAUCAGACCUAUAUGUGAUAGGGUGACAUGGGAUCACCCCUGGUAUGUGCAUAGUAGGGUUAUUCAGUGAUUGGUUGGCUUUUGGAACAACUCUGGGCACGUUCGAGGACGAACGUAUGUUUAAGUGGGGGAGGAUGUAACGACUCGACUGGUCAUUUUGAGCUUUUGCACUUUGCUCGCCAGUUCUUGGGCAUGACUAGCCUGUGUGAUGAAUUAUUACCUAUUUAAAUCGUUGGUUUUGGUUUUCAGGAAAAUCGGAAUGAAUUUGAAAGAACAGUCUUAGAUGAAAGCUUUGAAUUUGAAAAGUUUGGCCAAGAGUUGACUUAUUUGUAUAUGAGCUCGGAAUGGAAUUUUUAUGAUUUGGUUAGCUUCGUUGGGUGAUUUAUGACUUAGGAGUGUGAUCGGAAAUGGUUUUAGAGGUCUGGUGUAGAAUUAGGCUUGAAUUGGCGAAGUUAAUAUUUUGGCGAUUUCCGGUUGGUAGGUGAGAUUUUGAUCCGAGGGUCGAAAUGAAAUUUCGAGAGUUGCUGUAGCUUCAUUAUGUCAUUUGUGAUGUGUGUGCAAAAUUUCAGGUCAUUUGGACGUGGUUUGGUUGGGUUUUUUAUCAAAAGCGUAUUUCGGAAGAUUUUAGAAACUUAGGCUUGAAUCUGAUGUGAUUUGGUAGAUUUGAUGUUGUUUGAGGUGUUUUGACGAUUGGAGCAAGUUUGAAUAAGGUAUUGGGUUAUGUUUGUUCUUUUGGUUGAGGUCCCGGGGGCCUCGGGAUGAUUUCAGGUGGUUAAUGGAGAAGUUUGAUGUUGAUUGCAGCUUCAGAUUUUGCUGGUUCUGGUGUUUUCGCAUCUACGAUUUGGAAACCGCGGGUGCGGUGUCGCACGUGCGGAAGGGAAGGCGCAGAUGCGGUUUGAAGGAGUAGAGCCAGGAGCCAAAUAUGCGGAAUAUGGACCGCACCUGCGGAGUCGCAGAUGCAACGAGGUGACCGUAGAUGCGGCUAAGGCCGGUUUUAAUGAAUUCUGCAGAAGAGGAUGAGUUGACCGCAUAUGCGGUACCGCAAAAGCAUAUUUUUGGACCGCAGAUGUAGUUAUGCCUGGGGCAGAAUGUUUAAAAGAUGGGUUUCGCGAUUUUUGGUCUAUUUUCUCCAUUGUUGAGCAAUUUUUGGAUCUUUUGAGAAGAAUUGAAGAGGGAAUCGAAGGGAAUCACUUGGAGGUAAGAUUUUUGGACUCAAUACUCGAUUCUUGUGUGAAUUCCACAUAAUUAAUCAUGGAAUUAAGCCUAAAAAUUGAGGAAUUAGGGCUUGAAAUUGGAGAGUGAAUUUUUAGAAUUUGAGUGACCAUAUGAUAUUGGAUUUUGGUAAAUUUGAUAUGUAUGAACUCGUAAGAGGAUGGGGAUUUCAUUGAUGUUAAUUUCUGAGUUUCAAGAAGUGGGCCCGGGGCUCGAGUUUUGCUAAUUUCGGGAUUUUUGGUAUUUUUGAUUGUUUUCGCUUGGGCUUUGUUCCCUUAGCAUAUUGUGACGUAUUCGUUCUGAUUUUGGAUAGAUUCGACACGCGUGGAGGCCGAUUUGAGGGGAAAAGGUAUCGCGAGCUAGAGAUUUAGCCAGUUCGAGGUAAGUAAUGAUUGUAAAUGCUGUUCUGAGGGUUUGAAACCCCGGAUUACACAUCGUUGUGCUAUGUUGAGGUGACUUACACGCUAGAUGACGAGCGUGGGGUAGAGCACCGCUGGGGAUUGUGACUUAGUCCAUUCCGAACGAUUAUUUUAAUGCGUAAUUGAUAGUUAAUUAUUUGAUAUUUUUAUAUUUUGGGUUGUAUGCUAUGUUUGGGGCCUUGUGCCGACCUGCUGAGACCCUUAGGGGUACUUCCACUAUUUUUCCUCACUCUAUUUGUUUUGAAAGCAUAUCCUCAGUCGUGUUUUACCUGUUUAUUGUUUAAAUCUGGUUUACCACUUUAUUUCUUAAAAAUAUGAAAACUGUUUGGGCUGAGUUCCUUGUUUUACUGAUGGUCCGAGUGAUCGUGAGGUUGAUGACUGAGAUGGACCGUGAGUCUGAUUGUGAGAUUAAUGACUGAGAUAGGCCGAGAGCCUAGUUGUGAAGAUUAUAUAGUUAUGGAUCGGGCUACACGCCGCCGCAAUAUAUAUAUAUAUAUAUAUGUAUGUAUAUAUAUAUAUGUAUGUUUAUAGAUUGGGCUGCACGCCGCAGCGAUAUGUUGGAUCAGGCUGCACGCCACAGCGAUAUAGCGCUUGGGCUGUAAGAGCCCCUCCGGAGUCUGCACACCCCCAGUGAGCGCCGUCGACGAAAUAUAUGGAUCGGGCUGCACGCCGCAGUGAUAUAUGGAUCGGGCUGCGCGUCGUAGUGGUUACUAUAUGGUACCUAUUGAGCGUGAGUGCUGUGUGUGAGCACAGAUUUAGUAAGAGUUGAGUCGCGAGUGACUGAGAGACUAGCCCAAGGGGCGAUAGAUAUGUACAUGCACCUGCGUGAUGCUUUGACUGAGAGGCCUGUUUAGGAACUUAUUGAUUUUUACUCCUCUUUAAGUGAGUUCCCAUCGAAUAUGUAGAUUUAUUAACUGCUUUCACUCAUCUUUAUAUCGAGCCUCUGUCAAAAAUGUUGAAUUAAUGUGUUUAAACAACUUUCAUUUAAGCUGGGGUUAUGAGAUGUUCAGAACUUCCUCAUUGAUUUGGCUUUUGUUAUUUCUACAGAGAUUUCCUUGUUAUGAGGUAUUUAUGACUCCUGUUUUGCCAAGGGGCUGAUUUUAGUUUUCAUCUCUUUUAUUAUAAAUAGUAUUGAAUUCCUACUGAAACCGUUAGAAGGUAUUUUAAUUGAUUUUUACCAAAAGCUAAAUUUUGAAAUGAGACGAAUGACUCGUAUUCUGAUUUGAAAGCUUGUUGCGGUUAUUGAGUUUAUCAUAAUUGUGGAUUCAUUGUUUCCUACUGCUCAGUCUUUAUUUACUCUUAUUACUUACUGGGUUGGAGUACUCACAUUACUCCCUGUACCUCGUAUGCAGAUUUAGGUAUUUUGGAACCCGGUAGUGGGUGUUGGUUGCUUAGACGCGGAGUCAUUAGAGUUAGCAAGGUGGCUACACGAUGUUCGCAACACUGCUUCCUUCCUCUCAUUUUUAUUUCUGUACUUAGUACAUUUUGACUGUUUUUGCUGUAUUCAAACCUUGUUAGAUGCUCAUGGCUAGUGACACCCCGAUGUUGGGCUUGUAUGUUAUUUCCUCACU